RNAcentral lists this ribosomal RNA (245 nucleotides) under Helicobacter pylori. RNAcentral describes it as "partial 23S ribosomal RNA". It matches the Rfam family "Bacterial large subunit ribosomal RNA", at positions 1879 to 2121 of the family's 2925-position model. Lineage: Bacteria; Pseudomonadati; Campylobacterota; Epsilonproteobacteria; Campylobacterales; Helicobacteraceae. The record is from RNAcentral.
AAGAGGAUGCGUCAGUCGCAAGAUGAAGCGUUGAAUUGAAGCCCGAGUAAACGGCGGCCGUAACUAUAACGGUCCUAAGGUAGCGAAAUUCCUUGUCGGUUAAAUACCGACCUGCAUGAAUGGCGUAACGAGAUGGGAGCUGUCUCAACCAGAGAUUCAGUGAAAUUGUAGUGGAGGUGAAAAUUCCUCCUACCCGCGGCAAGACGGAAAGACCCCGUGGACCUUUACUACAACUUAGCACUGCU